GGCCCGGUAGCGGAUGGUCCGCACCUGUAUAUAAUGACCGCCACAUUUGAGCUUCUGUAGGAGUCGCUCGUUCGAAUCGAGCCUGGGCCA
Non-coding RNA from Mycena latifolia, 90 nucleotides. Lineage: Eukaryota; Fungi; Basidiomycota; Agaricomycetes; Agaricales; Mycenaceae. The record is from the annotation of a GenBank genome assembly.